GAUGAACGCUGGCGGCGUGCUUAACACAUGCCAGUCGAACGAUGAAGCCCAGCUUGCUGGGUGGAUUAGUGGCGAACGGGUGAGUAACACGUGAGUAACCUGCCCUUAACUCUGGGAUAAGCCUGGGAAACUGGGUCUAAUACCGGAUAGGAGCGUCCACCGCAUGGUGGGUGUUGGAAAGAUUUAUCGGUUUUGGAUGGACUCGCGGCCUAUCAGCUUGUUGGUGAGGUAAUGGCUCGCCAAGGCGACGACGGGUAGCCGGCCUGAGAGGGUGACCGGCCACACUGGGACUGAGACACGGCCCAGACUCCUACGGGAGGCAGCAGUGGGGAAUAUUGCACAAUGGGCGCAAGCCUGAUGCAGCGACGCCGCGUGAGGGAUGACGGCCUUCGGGUUGUAAACCUCUUUCAGUAGGGAAGAAGCGAAAGUGACGGUACCUGCAGAAGAAGCACCGGCUAACUACGUG
This 466-nucleotide ribosomal RNA is filed under the name uncultured bacterium. RNAcentral's name for it is "partial 16S ribosomal RNA". It matches the Rfam family "Bacterial small subunit ribosomal RNA", at positions 28 to 507 of the family's 1533-position model. The record is from RNAcentral.